This 445-nucleotide ribosomal RNA is filed under the name uncultured bacterium. RNAcentral describes it as "partial 16S ribosomal RNA". It matches the Rfam family "Bacterial small subunit ribosomal RNA", at positions 354 to 796 of the family's 1533-position model. The record is from RNAcentral.
GUGAGGAAUAUUGGCCAAUGGGCGAGAGCCUGAACCAGCCAAGUCGCGUGAAGGAAGAAGGAUCUAUGGUUCGUAAACUUCUUUUGCAGGGGAAUAAAGUGCAGGACGUGUCCUGUUUUGUAUGUACCCUGAGAAUAAGGAUCGGCUAACUCCGUGUCAGCAGCCGCGGUAAUACGGAGGAUCCGAGCGUUAUCCGGAUUUAUUGGGUUUAAAGGGUGCGUAGGUGGUUUGAUAAGUCAGCGGUGAAAGUUUGCAGCUUAACUGUAAAAAUGCCGUUGAAACUGUCGGACUUGAGUGUAAAUGAGGUAGGCGGAAUGCGUGGUGUAGCGGUGAAAUGCAUAGAUAUCACGCAGAACUCCGAUUGCGAAGGCAGCUUACUAAGCUACAACUAACACUGAAGCACGAAAGCGUGGGGAUCAAACAGGAUUAGAAACCCCUGUAGUCC